This 77-nucleotide transfer RNA is filed under the name Candidatus Dojkabacteria bacterium. Its description in RNAcentral is "tRNA-Gly". It matches the Rfam family "tRNA". From Rfam's summary of the family: Transfer RNA (tRNA) molecules are approximately 80 nucleotides in length. Their secondary structure includes four short double-helical elements and three loops (D, anti-codon, and T loops). The record is from RNAcentral.
GCGGGAGUAGCUCAGUUGGCUAGAGCAUCUGUUUUCCAAACAGAGGGUCGCGAGUUCGAGUCUCGUCUCCCGCUCCA